UUACCAGAAAUUUUGGCAUCUGCAUCUAAAAUUGUUUCCGUUUGUCGAAGCUUUCUUUGUUUGAACCAUUUAGGCUUGGUUUAAUCAAUAGUUGAGUAGAUAAAAGGUACUUAGAUUGAGAAAUUUAUGUGAAUACAGGGGAGGAGUUAGAGAAGCUUGCUUUAGAUGUAGCUUUUUCUGAUGCAACAUAUUAUGAAAUUGGUGGAGGCAAUAUCGGCCACACUUAAAAACAAGGCAAGUAAAAGACCAAUUAUUCAUACGCUGUUAUCCAUUUGUGCUUAGCUCAUUUCACAACCAUCUUUCUUAUCCUUUUAGAACACUCUCUCCACUUACUAUUUUCUUAAUGAAUUAUUCUCAAUGAAAACUGUACUGAAAGCUAUUGGUUGAACCAAACAAUGCAUUUAGUUCUUACAAAAAAACCAUCAACUGACUUUGUUCGCAUUUGCUUCUUCUACUGAUAUUCUCAGUAAAUAUGGUAUACUGUGGCACACUGGUCAAGUCUCUAUCAGCAAACAUAACAACUGCAACUCGGCCCACAUGCUCUCCUGCAAAAGAUGGUAAUAAACAAGGUCAUAAGGGCACCAGCUCAAGAGGAAGAAGGUCCACAGAACAAGAAACGUUUAUUGGUGAUUGCUCUGAUCACAAUUCCUAUGAUUAUGAUCCUACUGAGAACAAUGAUGUAUUAUCUAAAAAGGAGAAUACUCAAGUCAAUUGGGAUUAUAGACAACAUUAAAAGAUCAGUUUGUAGACUAUUAAAUGUAAUUUCAGCUACAGAUAGUUUUAACAUCAAUGCUCCUAAUCUGUCUACAAGUUGGAGAGGAUGAACAUAUAUGUCUACAAGGAAGGAUGAGACCUGGGUGAGCUAGACAGAAUUGUCAGGAAACUGUUGCAGCCUAGGGUCUAUGUGAAAUUGAUUAAUCUGGGUCUUGAGGUGGCCUUCAUCUCUGUUCAACUGAAGCCCCUCAGUUUGAUUUAGAGUUUUCAUGCAAAUCGAGAAGAAAGAGAUCCAAGAUUUCAGAACCAACCCAUCUUUUUGAACGAAGUUUACGAAAGAGUGAAUGCCUUGGAAGCACUGAAAACCGUGAUGGUUAUACACCACACUUCGAGGGAAGUUGAUGGUACAUUUUGUGAUGCUAAAUACAGCUGGAGUAGAGGUCAUAUUCUGAACAUAUCUCAUUUUCUUUUCAGUAAGAAUAAUAAAUGGCCAUGAAGAUUCUUUGAGACGAAGCAUUGACUAUUGUACCUGCAUUCAUUUAUAUGCAUCAUAUAUCGAAGAAUGACUGGACUGUUUUCGUGUCCUGAUGUACGAUGUUCAGAAAGAUCACUUGGUAUGCAGUUUGAAUUGGAACUUAUGUGCAAGCUUUUUGUAUAUACACUGUUCUUUCCAUAUCAUUUAACAGAAAAACCACCCUCUAGCUUUUUCUUUAAACUUUUAUAUUAUGUUUAAUUAUCAAUGCAAAAAGGAAUAGAAAUGUACCAUAUUCUUUAAUAUAGUACAGUCGUUUACUCUGCUAAUUUACACAUUUUUUAUAUUGUAUUACCAGUGUAACAUGAUGGCAUUUAGAAUAAAGGAUCUCACAUGUUCAAUACAAUCUCUACAGAGAACCAAGGAACUUGAAACCCCAGACUUACUAAGGCAUCUACCUGCUUUGCAACAGCUUCUUUCUCACCUUCUUGAUUGCUAGCCACAACUGGGGACUAUAUGUAAGAGCCUGAUUCAAUAUGUUAUUUCAAUGGUUGCAGGUAAAAUUGACAAGUUGUAUGCUGCAGUUACAUAUGGUAUUGUCAAUUUAGUUAACAACGCAGGCCUCAGUUUUCUAUGUGCACAAUGAUGGGCAGCUGCUACAAUUAAUGAUGGGCAAUACUUGAUGUUGUCAUAGAAUGGUUUCAUAGGAUGUUAUUGUAAACUGCAAUAAUGUAAACCAAACAAUUUUAGAUAGAUGAAAUUUUGGUUCAUUUUAUCAUUCUAUCAUUAUUGU
Molecule: long non-coding RNA, 1979 nt
Organism: Rosa chinensis
Lineage: Eukaryota; Viridiplantae; Streptophyta; Magnoliopsida; Rosales; Rosaceae
Exons: 8
Source: RefSeq, a predicted model, not a curated record